Equus caballus (horse) is the source of this 1108-nucleotide non-coding RNA. The record is from RefSeq and is a predicted model, not a curated record. Lineage: Eukaryota; Metazoa; Chordata; Mammalia; Perissodactyla; Equidae.
AUGUUAGUUAGAUCUCAACAACAAAAAAUGAGAAUGCUAAAUUUCAGUUUGAGGUGAGUAAAAAUAAAAAAGUACUUUUCUUCUCAUCCAAAUUCAUGGAUCUCUUGAAAUCUUAACCCGAGGUUAAGAAAAUCUGUGGUAGAGAGACAUCCCUGGGGGAGAUCCUGGGAACCUGACAGGUGGAAGCUACAGGAAAAGGUCGUUGGAUGAACUCAAGCCAUGGUGAGAGUCACUGAACAAGAUUUGCAAACCCUCUGUGUUCGCGCAGUCCGUGCUCUGCUGUCCCUCACUGCCCAUCCCCACUUCUCAGUCUUGACCUCCCAGUGCUCCCGAGAACGUCACCCUCUGGGUCACAUGGUCCCUUCUGGGAACCCCUCGCUGCAGAGCUGGUGAGGGGUUGCUCUGUCCGGAGGGCAACUGUCGGUCCCACUCCACUGUGAGAAACGAGGCUGAGAUCAGGAAGGGCCUUUCAAAGCCCCAGAAGUCAACCACACAGCCCUCUCAGCCACAUCUUGAAGCAUUUUUACUAUCAAGAAGUAUCUGCAUGCAAAUUUCAGAAUCUGUCUGCCAGUUCUUUUUGCAAAGAGUGUUGGAACCGUGGCAUGAAAGGAAAUCCAGAGAGACAGGGUAAUGGGUGUGGACGAUUGCUAAUGGGACCCUCAAGUCCCUGGGCUGUCAGCCCUGUCUCCCUUAAGUACACGUUUGGAGUUCAAGUUCAUCGAGAUGGAGGUGUGUUCUGAUUUGUUGAUUUUGGGGUGGGAAAAAAGGGGAAAGAACAGAACAAAACCAAAUCUCUCAUCUCUUGGAGACUUUGUUGAAAAAAAAAUCAGUAUUUUAACCAUUCAUAUAUUCAAUGAGGGCAAGAGCUCAUUUUCAAACACUAGAUUGUGGAAAUGUUAUGAACAAUUUUCCUCAUAUGCUAAAAAUUAUUUCUUUGUGUUCUGCUGCUACACACAAUAUGUGUUUGGAAAGAAAGGGUGACACUGCUUGUGAACAGGAGGAUAUUUCUUUACAACUUCUGUUACUGGUUUUUGUUUUUCAGCAGUGUUUUCCUCCUCAAGAUGGAAUCUGUCAAGGUACAAAAUUAAACUGAAAACUGUGAUAGUAA